Molecule: ribosomal RNA, 253 nt
Filed under: uncultured bacterium
Lineage: Bacteria
Description: partial 16S ribosomal RNA
Rfam family: Bacterial small subunit ribosomal RNA
Source: RNAcentral
GACAGAGGUCCCGAGCGUUAGGCGGAAUCACUGGGCUUAAAGCGUGUGUAGGCGGAUCGUUAAGUGCCUUGUGAAAUCCCACGGCUUAACCGUGGAACUGCUUGGCAUACUGGCGGUCUUGAGCAACCUAGGGGCAAGCGGAACAAAUGGUGGAGCGGUGAAAUGCGUAGAUAUCACAUAGAACACCCAUUGCGAAGGCAGCUCGCUACACUAUUAUUGACGCUGAGGCACGAAAGCGUGGGGAUCAAACAGG